AGGUUACGUCCGGCCCCGGGUAGCAUCUCCAGCACUUGCGACAGCAGGAGAGGAAGCCGGUGAAAAUCCGGCGCGGUCGCGCCACUGUGAGCUCGCCGAAACCGGUGGGCGAGCCAGACCCUCACCUGCCGUCCUCCGACCUA
This 143-nucleotide non-coding RNA is filed under the name Rhodococcus jostii RHA1. RNAcentral also lists the same sequence under 1 other name. Lineage: Bacteria; Bacillati; Actinomycetota; Actinomycetes; Mycobacteriales; Nocardiaceae. The record is from RNAcentral.